CCUACGGGUGGCAGCAGUGAGGAAUAUUGGUCAAUGGACGAGAGUCUGAACCAGCCAAGUAGCGUGAAGGAUGACUGCCCUACGGGUUGUAAACUUCUUUUAUAAAGGAAUAAAGUGAUGCACGUGUGCGUUUUUGUAUGUACCUUAUGAAUAAGGAUCGGCUAACUCCGUGCCAGCAGCCGCGGUAAUACGGAGGAUCCGAGCGUUAUCCGGAUUUAUUGGGUUUAAAGGGAGCGUAGGUGGGUUGUUAAGUCAGUUGUGAAAGUUUGCGGCUCAACCGUAAAAUUGCAGUUGAUACUGGCAGUCUUGAGUACAGUAGAGGUAGGCGGAAUUCGUGGUGUAGCGGUGAAAUGCUUAGAUAUCACGAAGAACUCCGAUUGCGAAGGCAGCUCACUAAACUGCAACUGACACUGAUGCUCGAAAGUGUGGGUAUCAAACAGGAUUAGAUACCCCUGUAGUC
Molecule: ribosomal RNA, 460 nt
Filed under: uncultured bacterium
Lineage: Bacteria
Description: partial 16S ribosomal RNA
Rfam family: Bacterial small subunit ribosomal RNA
Source: RNAcentral